This 1272-nucleotide ribosomal RNA is filed under the name human gut metagenome. Its description in RNAcentral is "bacterial LSU rRNA". It matches the Rfam family "Bacterial large subunit ribosomal RNA", at positions 732 to 2025 of the family's 2925-position model. The record is from RNAcentral.
AUCCAUGUCCAGGUUGAAGUUGCCGUAAAAGGCAAUGGAGGACCGAACCCACAUCCGUUGAAAAGGGUGGGGAUGAGGUGUGGAUAGGGGAGAAAUUCCAAUCGAACCCGGAGAUAGCUGGUUCUCCUCGAAAUAGCUUUAGGGCUAGCCUCAUAUAAGUCUUGCGGAGGUAGAGCACUGAAUUUCCUAGGGGGCGUCAAAGCUUACCGAAGAAUAUCAAACUCCGAAUGCCGUGUAGAUGUUGUAUGGGAGUCAGACUGUACGAGAUAAGUUGGACAGUCAAAAGGGAAAGAGCCCAGACCUGCAGCUAAGGCCCCAAAAUGUGUGUUAAGUGGAAAAGGAUGUGGGAUUUCAAAGACAACUAGGAUGUUGGCUUAGAAGCAGCCAUACAUUCAAAGAGUGCGUAAUAGCUCACUAGUCGAGAGGUCCUGCGCCGAAAAUGUCCGGGGCUGAAACACACUGCCGAAGCUCAGGAAUGUACCUAGUACAUUGGUAGAGGAGCAUUGUAUACGGGACGAAGCAGUACCGAUAAGGAGCUGUGGACUGUAUAGAAGAGAGAAUGCCGGAAUGAGUAGCGAGAGGAAGGUGAGAAUCCUUCCGGCCGAAUAUCUAAGGUUUCCAGAGUAAAGCUGAUCUGCUCUGGGUAAGUCGGGGCCUAAGGCCAGGUCGAAAGACGUAACCGAUGGACAACAGGUUGAAAUUCCUGUACCUUAAGUAAACAGAACUGUGGGGACACGUGUGGAGAGCACAAGCCGGAAAUGGAAAAGCCGGUGCAAGCGAGGUAGGAGAUGAAUAGGCAAAUCCGUUCAUCAAUCCGAAGACGUGAUGCGGACCGAAUUAAGAGUAGGGAAGUGUGUGAGCCAUGCGUCAAGAAAAGCCGCUAUUGUUUUACUUAAGCCCGUACCGUAAACCGACACAGGUGGAUGAGGAGAGAAUCCUAAGGCCGACGGGAGAAGCAUUGUUAAGGAACUCGGCAAAAUGACUCCGUAACUUCGGGAGAAGGAGUGCCAGCGAGAGCUGGCCGCAGAGAAUUGGCCCAAGCAACUGUUUAGCAAAAACACAGGUCUAUGCAAAACCGUAAGGUGAAGUAUAUGGGCUGACGCCUGCCCGGUGCUGGAAGGUUAAGAGGAGAGGUUAGCGGUAACGCGAAGCUUUGAAUUUAAGCCCCAGUAAACGGCGGCCGUAACUAUAACGGUCCUAAGGUAGCGAAAUUCCUUGUCGGGUAAGUUCCGACCCGCACGAAAGGCGUAAUGAUUUGGGCACUGUCUCAAC